Molecule: ribosomal RNA, 807 nt
Filed under: uncultured bacterium
Lineage: Bacteria
Description: bacterial SSU rRNA
Rfam family: Bacterial small subunit ribosomal RNA
Source: RNAcentral
UCGAGGGGCAGCAUGGGGUGUAGCAAUACACUCUGAUGGCGACCGGCAAACGGGUGCGGAACACGUACGCAACUUACCCUGAACUGGGGGAUAGCCCACCGAAAGGUGGAUUAAUACCCCGUAACACUACCAGGUGGCAUCACCUGAUAGUUAAAGCUCCGGCGGUUUGGGAUGGGCGUGCGGCUGAUUAGGUAGUUGGUUGGGGUAAUGGCCCACCAAGCCUGCGAUCAGUAACUGGUGUGAGAGCACGACCAGUCACACGGGCACUGAGACACGGGCCCGACUCCUACGGGAGGCAGCAGUAAGGAAUAUUGGUCAAUGGCCGCAAGGCUGAACCAGCCAUGCCGCGUGAAGGAUGAAGGUCCUCUGGAUUGUAAACUUCUUUUAUGGGGGAAGAAACCUCUUGAUUCCUCAAGAGUUGACGGUACCCCAGGAAUAAGCACCGGCUAACUCCGUGCCAGCAGCCGCGGUAAUACGGAGGGUGCAAGCGUUAUCCGGAUUCACUGGGUUUAAAGGGUGCGUAGGAGGGUAGGUAAGUCAGUGGUGAAAUCUGUGGGCUCAACCCACAAACUGCCGUUGAUACUAUCUGUCUUGAAUUCCGUGGAGGUGAGCGGAAUAUGUCAUGUAGCGGUGAAAUGCUUAGAUAUGACAUAGAACACCAAUUGCGAAGGCAGCUCACUACACGACGAUUGACUCUGAGGCACGAAAGCGUGGGGAUCAAACAGGAUUAGAUACCCUGGUAGUCCACGCCCUAAACUAUGGAUACUCGACAUACGCGAUACACUGUGUGUGUCUGAGCGAAAGCAU